Long non-coding RNA from Acanthochromis polyacanthus (spiny chromis), 855 nucleotides. RefSeq lists it as uncharacterized. The record is from RefSeq and is a predicted model, not a curated record. The transcript has 2 exons. Lineage: Eukaryota; Metazoa; Chordata; Actinopteri; Pomacentridae.
CUUUCACCAGCCAUUGUCUCACGAUGCAAAGUUUCAGUCUCAGUCACAAAGACACACGCACACAAUUUGAAAAAUCACCUUCGGCAUUCUGCUUCCCGCCUUUUUAACUGCUGCAUUCAAAAGUGGUGGCAGCGCUUUUACAGUAAGCCUUACAGUCUCACACACGCGCAGUCAUUGUGAGAGGUCUGUGGAGCAUGUUGAUGACUCAUAUCUUAGAAAUCACAGCUGCAGACGAUCAGCCGGAUGCCGAUUUGGUUGCAAGCAACUUUCUGUCUCCAUCCAUCUUAGGUAACCCCACUCUCUCUCUCUCUCUCUCUCUCUUUCUGUCCGUCCCUCAACAAUUCAGGUCACGAUUCACAUUCACCUUUUCAACCCAGAUCUAUGCUGCUCGAGUGUGAAGACAAAGGAUGGAUUCUUUAAGCUGCUUUCACCUUCCCAUCUGUGCAGUAGUGUCUGUGUGGGAGUGAGUUUCAUUUGACUAUAUCGUAGAAGAUGCGUUUGACGCUGUCUUUGGGGACACUUGAAGGCCAUGGGGUAUCAGGUGAAGAUACGAGACAUAAAUCCUCUCCAGGAACGUUUCACCAACGCCAUCACGAGCAGAACUUCAACUGUGCUAAUGCAAGUUAGAGCAUAUUAUACACUUCUUCCAGUCUUUUCUUCAGGAGGAAAUGACAUCAUGAGGAGCAGGUCAUGUGAUCUGGAAUUAACACACUUCCUGGAGAGGAGUUUUUGGAACGGGGAACUUAGUGGGAAGUGAUUUAAUUUGUUAUUUUCCAUAUAGGAUUUGAUAUAUUGCCAAAAAAGAAAUAUCUGUCCUGAUUAUCUCACCUUAAUAAAAGAACACAAUCCAAACUA